This 85-nucleotide transfer RNA is filed under the name Phaeodactylum tricornutum. Its description in RNAcentral is "tRNA-Ser". It matches the Rfam family "tRNA". From Rfam's summary of the family: Transfer RNA (tRNA) molecules are approximately 80 nucleotides in length. Their secondary structure includes four short double-helical elements and three loops (D, anti-codon, and T loops). Lineage: Eukaryota; Bacillariophyta; Bacillariophyceae; Surirellales; Neidiaceae. The record is from RNAcentral.
GGAUAAGUGGUCGAGUGGUCUAAGGCUAUAGUUUUGAAAGCUAUUGUAUUUUUAAAUACCGUGGGUUCGAAUCCCGCCUUCUCCU